This 349-nucleotide long non-coding RNA is filed under the name Rattus norvegicus (Norway rat). Its description in RNAcentral is "long non-coding RNA NONRATT015693". Lineage: Eukaryota; Metazoa; Chordata; Mammalia; Rodentia; Muridae. The record is from RNAcentral.
UGCACCUUCACUGAGACAGGAAGCGGGGAGACAGCUCAACAACCUGGCUGACUCCACCGAGGAGGGGACCAUGCCUUCCGAGCUGGUGGAGGUCAUCAGAAAGUUGUGGAAGGACGGUGGAGUUCAAGCCUGCUUUGACAGAGCCGCAGAGUUCCAGCUCAAUGACUCGGCAUCUUAUUACCUGAACCAGCUGGACCGGAUUACAGACCCUGACUACCUCCCUAAUGAGCAAGACGUGCUUCGAUCCAGAGUCAAGACAACAGGCAUCAUCGAGACCAAGUUUUCUGUAAAAGAUUUGAAUUUUAGGAUGUUUGACGUGGGAGGGCAGAGAUCAGAGAGGAAGAAAUGG